GUCCUAGCUGUAAACGGUGCACAUUUGCUGUGAACGGAUUCGACCCCGUUCGUGGCGAAGCUAACGCGUUAAAUGUGCCGCCUGGGAAGUACGGUCGCAAGAUUAAAACUCAAAGAAAUUGACGGGGGCCUGCACAAGCGGUGGAGUAUGUGGCUCAAUUCGAUGCAACGCGAAGAACCUUACCUGGCCUUGACAUGUAGGUGGUAGAAGGAUGAAAGUCUAACGACCCCGCAAGGGGAGCCUACACAGGUGCUGCAUGGCUGUCGU
This 267-nucleotide ribosomal RNA is filed under the name uncultured bacterium. RNAcentral describes it as "partial 16S ribosomal RNA". It matches the Rfam family "Bacterial small subunit ribosomal RNA", at positions 793 to 1055 of the family's 1533-position model. The record is from RNAcentral.